UGGGGAAUUUUGCACAAUGGGGGAAACCCUGAUGCAGCGACGCCGCGUGAUUUAGAAGGCCUUCGGGUUGUAAAAAUCUUUUGUAUGGGAAGAAAAUGACAGUACCAUACGAAUAAGGACCGGCUAAUUACGUGCCAGCAGCCGCGGUAAUACGUAAGGUCCGAGCGUUGUCCGGAAUCAUUGGGCGUAAAGGGUACGUAGGCGGAUAAGCAAGUUAGAAGUGAAAUCCUAUAGCUCAACUAUAGUAAGCUUUUAAAACUGCUCAUCUUGAGGUAUGGAAGGGAAAGUGGAAUUCCUAGUGUAGCGGUGAAAUGCGCAGAUAUUAGGAGGAAUACCGGUGGCGAAGGCGACUUUCUGGCCAUAAACUGACGCUGAGGUACGAAAGCGUGGGUAGCAAACAGGAUUAGAUACCCUGGUAGUCCACGCCGUAACGAUGAGUGUUAGGUGUCUGGAAUAAUCUGGGUGCCGCAGCUAACGCAAUAAACACUCCGCCUGGGGAGUACGCACGCAAGUGUG
Molecule: ribosomal RNA, 516 nt
Filed under: uncultured bacterium
Lineage: Bacteria
Description: bacterial SSU rRNA
Rfam family: Bacterial small subunit ribosomal RNA
Source: RNAcentral